Molecule: unclassified non-coding RNA, 367 nt
Filed under: Hevea brasiliensis (rubber tree)
Lineage: Eukaryota; Viridiplantae; Streptophyta; Magnoliopsida; Malpighiales; Euphorbiaceae
Source: RNAcentral
AGUUUAAAGCCUUUCUUUUAAAAAAUAAGUUUUUAGAAAAUAAAAUAACAUUUUAGAAAAUGAAUCGCUUGCAAACAAAAUGAGGCAUAUCUUUUAGUACUUCAUAACAUAAUCUUUCACAUUUUGCACGCUUGUAAACAUGGCUCUUAAAUCUGGAACUGACCAAUCGGUCGAAUUGAUUUAAUUGGAAAUUAAAGUUUGAACAAGUUCCAUUGAACCAAAUCUUGCUUUUAGAAAAUUGAUGUCAAAUAGGUGUGAGUGGACCAGUUAAACAGCGAACUGGAUUAUCUGCUGAAUUUGAACCGAGUAGUCUGGUUCGGUCACUCAAGUUAAAAAAUUUGCCAGGGCCACCGCAUUUGGGGCCACG